ACGGCUAUAUCACGUUAAGACACCGGUUCUCGUCUGAUUACCGAAGUUAAGUAACGUUGAGUCUGGUCAGUACUCAGAUAGGUAACCGCUGGAAAUACUAGGUACUGUAAG
Non-coding RNA from Acanthosepion pharaonis, 111 nucleotides. Lineage: Eukaryota; Metazoa; Mollusca; Cephalopoda; Sepiida; Sepiidae. The record is from the annotation of a GenBank genome assembly.